UGACAGGGAGGAGUGCAAAACCAAGGAGUUGGCUAGACUCCCAAAUAUAUAUAUUUGGGAGUCUAGCCAACUCCUUGGUUUUGCACCCCUAAU
Non-coding RNA from Pelobates cultripes (western spadefoot toad), 93 nucleotides. NCBI's taxonomy places the organism in Eukaryota, Metazoa, Chordata, Amphibia, Anura, Pelobatidae. The record is from the annotation of a GenBank genome assembly.